AGAGUUUGAUCAUGGCUCAGGAUGAACGCUGGCGGUAUGCUUAACACAUGCAAGUCGAACGGACGCUUCGGCGUUAGUGGCGGACGGGUGAGUAACACGUGAGAACCUACCUUCAGGCCAGGGACAACAACUGGAAACGGUUGCUAAUACCUGAUGUGCCAAAGGGUGAAAGAUUUAUCGCCUGAAGAUGGGCUCGCGACCGAUUAGCAAGUUGGAGUGGUAACGGCACACAAAGGCGACGAUCGGUAGCUGGUCUGAGAGGAUGAUCAGCCACACUAGAACUGAGACACGGUACAGACUCCUACGGGAGGCAGCAGUGGGGGAUUUUCCGCAAGGGGAGCAAGCCGGACGGAGCAAUACCUCGUGAUGGAGGAAGGCUCUUGGGUUGUAAACCUCUUUUGUCAGGGAAGAAGAUCUGACGGUACCUGACGAAUCAGCAUCGGCUAACUCCGUGCCAGCAGCCGCGGUAUUC
RNAcentral lists this ribosomal RNA (472 nucleotides) under uncultured bacterium. RNAcentral's name for it is "bacterial SSU rRNA". It matches the Rfam family "Bacterial small subunit ribosomal RNA", at positions 8 to 525 of the family's 1533-position model. The record is from RNAcentral.